RNAcentral lists this ribosomal RNA (479 nucleotides) under uncultured soil bacterium. Its description in RNAcentral is "bacterial SSU rRNA". It matches the Rfam family "Bacterial small subunit ribosomal RNA", at positions 26 to 518 of the family's 1533-position model. The record is from RNAcentral.
AGGACGAACGCUGGCGGCGUGCUUAACACAUGCAAGUCGAGCGGAAAGGCCACUUCGGUGGUACUCGAGCGGCGAACGGGUGAGUAACACGUGAGUAAUCUGCCCUCCACUUUGGGAUAGCCACCGGAAACGGUGAUUAAUACCGGAUAUGACCUUGGCCCGCAUGGGUUGUGGUGGAAAGUUUUUCGGUGGGGGAUGUGCUCGCGGCCUAUCAGCUUGAUGGUGGGGUAAUGGCCUACCAUGGCUUCGACGGGUAGCCGGCCUGAGAGGGUGACCGGCCACACUGGGACUGAGACACGGCCCAGACUCCUACGGGAGGCAGCAGUGGGAAUAUUGGACAAUGGGCGAAGCCUGAUCCAGCAACGCCGCGUGAGGGAUGACGGCCUUCGGGUUGUAAACCUCUUUCAGCACAGACGAAGACGAAAGUGACGGUAUGUGCAGAAGAACGCACCGGACCAACUACGUGCCAGCGAGCCGAC